GACGAACGCUGGCGGCGUGCUUAACACAUGCAGGUCGAACGGAAAGGCCCUGCCUUUGUGGGGUGCUCGAGUGGCGAACGGGUGAGUAACACGUGAGUAACCUGCCCUUGACUUUGGGAUAACUUCAGGAAACUGGGGCUAAUACCGGAUAGGAGCUCCUGCUGCAUGGUGGGGGUUGGAAAGUUUCGGCGGUUGGGGAUGGACUCGCGGCUUAUCAGCUUGUUGGUGGGGUAGUGGCUUACCAAGGCUUUGACGGGUAGCCGGCCUGAGAGGGUGACCGGCCACAUUGGGACUGAGAUACGGCCCAGACUCCUACGGGAGGCAGCAGUGGGGAAUAUUGCACAAUGGGCGGAAGCCUGAUGCAGCAACGCCGCGUGCGGGAUGACGGCCUUCGGGUUGUAAACCGCUUUCGCCUGUGACGAAGCGUGAGUGACGGUAAUGGGUAAAGAAGCACCGGCUAACUACGUG
This 468-nucleotide ribosomal RNA is filed under the name uncultured bacterium. Its description in RNAcentral is "partial 16S ribosomal RNA". It matches the Rfam family "Bacterial small subunit ribosomal RNA", at positions 28 to 507 of the family's 1533-position model. The record is from RNAcentral.